CCUACGGGUGGCUGCAGUGAGGAAUAUUGGUCAAUGGCCGGAAGUCUGAACCAGCCAAGCCGCGUGAAGGACGAAUGUGCCAAGCAUUGUAAACUUCUUUUGUCAAGGGAUAAAAUCAGGCUCGAGAGCCUGUUUGAGGGUACUUUAAGAAAAAGCAUCGGCUAACUCCGUGCCAGCAGCCGCGGUAAUACGGAGGAUGCGAGCGUUAUCCGGAUUUAUUGGGUUUAAAGGGUGCGUAGGAUGUGAGGUAAGUCAGCGGUGAAAUGUCCCCGCUCAACGGGGUGAAGUGCCAUUGUUACUGCCUUGCUGGAAUGCAGAUGACGUAGGAGGAAUGUGUGGUGUAGCGGUGAAAUGCAUAGAUAUCACACAGAACACCGAUUGCGAAGGCAUCUCACGAAUCCGCGAUUGACGCUGAUGCACGAAAGCGUGGGUAUCAAACAGGAUUAGAUACCCCUGUAGUC
RNAcentral lists this ribosomal RNA (461 nucleotides) under uncultured bacterium. Its description in RNAcentral is "partial 16S ribosomal RNA". It matches the Rfam family "Bacterial small subunit ribosomal RNA", at positions 338 to 795 of the family's 1533-position model. The record is from RNAcentral.